UUUGUUUUUUUUUUUUUUUAAAUAUAAUUAGCACCUCUUGCUAUAAGGAAGGGACAUGAAGAAAGCGAGAAGUAUCAUUGUUCUAGAAUUCUAUCACAUAUAAUAAUAUUAGCAAAGAUUUUAAGGUUAUAUAAAAUAUGGUCCAUCAUAAAAUAAUAAAAAAGAAGAGACACACAUAUAUGGCAAGAAACAAUGUGGCACAUGCAAUUACAAUGCUAAUUAUUGUAUUAAUUAGUUUUUCUUUUGAUGGAUUUUUUGACCUAGGUGCGUGUAUGACAAAAUGCAGGAAAAACACUCAGUCUCAGCGUGAUCUUAAAGAGAGGAAAAUAUGCACAAAGGUAUGUGUUACCAAAGAAUGCUUGUCACGGCAUCCGAAUGAUAAAGAGAAGUGGGAGAGAUGCUUUGACAGUCUUUAUGCUCUAUUAAUUAAGAAUUAAAGCUGCUUGAAAUCUGAACCUACUGGCUAUAUGGGGUUUUUUGGAGUUCUCUCAGAUUAUGGUGUUCGUGAUUUGAAAUCUUUAGAAAAUUCCUUCACUGUGAGAUGAUGAUGUGUUGGAUGUUCCUUAUUAUAAAUUAUGACAGAUUCAUUUCAUUUUUUUUUUUAAUCUUGUAAAACUGGACAUUACGGGUAUCUUUUUACU
This is a non-coding RNA of Arachis ipaensis, 641 nucleotides long. NCBI's taxonomy places the organism in Eukaryota, Viridiplantae, Streptophyta, Magnoliopsida, Fabales, Fabaceae. The record is from RefSeq and is a predicted model, not a curated record.